This 253-nucleotide ribosomal RNA is filed under the name uncultured bacterium. RNAcentral's name for it is "partial 16S ribosomal RNA". It matches the Rfam family "Bacterial small subunit ribosomal RNA", at positions 524 to 776 of the family's 1533-position model. The record is from RNAcentral.
UACGAAGGGGGCUAGCGUUGUUCGGAAUUACUGGGCGUAAAGCGUGCGCAGGCGGCGCGUUAAGACAGGUGUGAAAGCCCCGAGCUUAACUUGGGAAUUGCGCUUGUGACUGGCGUGCUGGAGUGUGGCAGAGGGAGGUGGAAUUCCACGUGUAGCAGUGAAAUGCGUAGAGAUGUGGAGGAACACCGAUGGCGAAGGCAGCCUCCUGGGCCAGCACUGACGCUCAUGCACGAAAGCGUGGGGAGCAAACAGG